UAGCUAGUUGGUGAGGUAAAGGCUUACCAAGGCGACGAUCUGUAGCGGGUCUGAGAGGAUGAUCCGCCACACUGGAACUGAGACACGGUCCAGACUCCUACGGGAGGCAGCAGUGGGGAAUUUUGGACAAUGGGGGCAACCCUGAUCCAGCCAUGCCGCGUGAGUGAAGAAGGCCUUCGGGUUGUAAAGCUCUUUCGGCCGGGAAGAAAUCGCAUGGGCCAAUACCCUGUGUGGAUGACGGUACCGGAAUAAGAAGCACCGGCUAACUACGUGCCAGCAGCCGCGGUAAUACGUAGGGUGCGAGCGUUAUUCGGAAUUACUGGGCGUAAAGCGUGCGCAGGCGGUCUUGUAAGACAGGCGUGAAAUCCCCGGGCUUAACCUGGGAACUGCGUUUGUGACUGCAAGGCUAGAGUACGGCAGAGGGGGGUGGAAUUCCACGUGUAGCAGUGAAAUGCGUAGAGAUGUGGAGGAACACCAAUGGCGAAGGCAGCCCCCUGGGUCGAUACUGACGCUCAUGCACGAAAGCGUGGGUAGCAAACAGGAUUAGAUACCCUGGUAGUCCACGCCCUAAACUAUGUCAACUAGGUGUUGGGUGGGUAAAACCAUUUAGUACCGUAGCUAACGCGUGAAGUUGACCGCCUGGGGAGUACGGCCGCAAGGUUAAAACUCAAAGGAAUUGACGGGGACCCGCACAAGCGGUGGAUGAUGUGGAUUAAUUCGAUGCAACGCGAAAAACCUUACCUACCCUUGACAUGCCAGGAACUUGCCAGAGAUGGCUUGGUGCCCGAAAGGGAGCCUGGACACAGGUGCUGCAUGGCUGUCGUCAGCUCGUGUCGCGAGAUGUUGGGUUAAGUCCCGCAACGAGCGCAACCCUUGUCGUUAAUUGCCAUCAUUUAGUUGGGCACUUUAACGAGACUGCCGGUGACAAACCGGAGGAAGGUGGGGAUGACGUCAAGUCCUCAUGGCCCUUAUGGGUAGGGCUUCACACGUCAUACAAUGGUCGGUACAAAGGGUUGCCAAGCCGCGAGGCGGAGCCAAUCCCAGAAAGCCGAUCGUAGUCCGGAUUGCAGGCUGCAACUCGCCUGCAUGAAGUCGGAAUCGCUAGUAAUCGUGGAUCAGCAUGUCACGGUGAAUACGUUCCCGGGUCUUGUACACACCGCCCGUCACACCAUGGGAGCGGGUUCCGCCAGAAGUAGGUAGCCUAACCGCAAGGGGGGCGCUUACCACGGCGGGGUUCGUGACUGGGGUGAAGUCGGAACAAGGUAGCCGUAGGGGAACCUGCGGCUG
Molecule: ribosomal RNA, 1287 nt
Filed under: metagenome
Description: bacterial SSU rRNA
Rfam family: Bacterial small subunit ribosomal RNA
Source: RNAcentral